UAGGGAAUUGACAGUUUUCUUCAGUUCAGAAAGUACUUUAUGUAUCAAACUAAUAUGUUUAAAUAUAUAAUUGAUAAGAUCGAAUAAACGUAAAUACAAGUCGUAAAUAAAGGUGUAAAACAAUACAACAUAUGUACAUGUACGGGUAUAUAUACAUGGCUGCGAAUAGAAAGGGUGAAUGGUUCAGGUUUCUACAUUGUUCAGUGAGAAGUCUUACGGAAGAUGGUUAUGCGUCUGGAUAAACAAGUCUACUUGAUCAGUAUCCUGCAUGAAAUUGGCAGUAUGCCACCCACGUGGUUAAUCUGGGUCAACAUUGUUUGAAAGGGGACAUGGUUUACUGUUCUGGAGUUGAAAAUGUUAAUGCAUCUUUAGUCCCUAUGGAUUUAUCAGUGGAGGAAGGAAGUCUAAAGUACAGGAAAAUUUGUAAAGACACUGGUACAGUUACUGUUGUGGAAGUUUAUUGAGCCAUAUCUUCAGGUGGGUCAGUGGUAAUACCAUUUGAUAUGUUAAACUGAAGAAGUUCCUCUGGAGUUGGUUUAUAACCAGGAAUCUCAGUUACACUGAAUAUUCGUUUAGUUUGUCCAUCAGAACCAUCAGGUUUUCUGAUUCGAAUAAAGAUUUUACCAUCUCUGGUCCAACAAGAGUUGAUGUGAUUUGCCUUGUAAGAUAUCCGUGCUAUGUUGAAAACAAAAGCUCUGUACCUUGUUAAAUCUUCAUUAAUGAAUAUAUCAUUUUUUACCCCGUUUACAUCCUUUUUGCCCCUCAUUAUAGCAACCUUGGUCUUGUAGCUAGAUAGUCUUACUAUAAUACGUUUAGGUUGUCCCUUGUGGGCUUUUCCAACACGGUGGCUAUUUUCGAUGUCAUGUGUUGAAAUGUUUGGUAUUAUCUUCCUUAAUACAGUCAAGGCUUCAUUUUCAACAAUUUCAUCUGCAGUUUCUUUAAUACCACUGAUGCGGAUACAAUUGCGCCUGCCAUAUUGUUCGAGAUCAUCGCAGCGGUCUUGUAUGAUACCAUUCAGCUCAAGGGAAACUGAUGCCAAUUCAAGUUUUAAUUCUGAUAUUUCUUUUUUAAGUGGGGUGGUGUGUUUGAUUAUUUCUUCUUGCAGAAUAAGUUCCACCAUGGGUCUGAAGGCAUUUUGCACUUCUGGAUUCUGGAAAGCUCUUACCAAUUCAAGAGUAAGAGCAUUAACUGUAUUCAUGAAUACAUUGUCUGCCAGUGGGCUUGGUGGGGAUGGGGUGGGUAUGUCUGUGGUGUCAGUCAUGGGUGUUGAACAGGCACUUAUUGUAUUAUUUUGAUAUUCUAGGCUGGUGUUAUUGUCUGGAUCAGCUGAGGGCAGGGUAGUGGAGGACAUGAAACUUGUAAUUUGGCUUUGCUGUGGUUGUGUUUUGCUUUUUUUCAGGUUGCUGUCCAGUAUACCAGAUGACAAUAGGAGUUCUGUCUGGAUUUGGAGUGGAGAACCUGUUUGUUUUCGUUUCCUACUGACAUUGUCCCGCCUCGGGGUAGACAUGGAUUUUAUGCUUUAUAUAUUUGCUGUUAAAUAAACGUUACAUACUGGAAAAAACUUUAGUUUAUUGACCUGUUCAUAUACCGGGUUACACAGUUAUAAGGUUUAUAAACGCCGAUGCCUUGUGUAAACAAUAACAAACAUAAACAAAAAUGGCUGCUCCAGUGUAUGAUUGAUGAUGUUAGGUUAUAGUAUUUGUAGGUAAUUCCUAAUUCAUCAACAGAAGAUGAGAUUAUGUAUCUUACUUAUUUUAAGUUCAUUGUAGUAGACUGUAGGAUCAUUUAGACAGCUUCAUGAUAUGUGUUAUGUAAAAUUCUCACGAACAAGUAGACCUCUAACAAAAACACGUCUAGCUACUGUC
Long non-coding RNA from Patella vulgata (common limpet), 1865 nucleotides. RefSeq lists it as uncharacterized. The record is from RefSeq and is a predicted model, not a curated record. The transcript is spliced from 3 exons. NCBI's taxonomy places the organism in Eukaryota, Metazoa, Mollusca, Gastropoda, Patellidae.